Molecule: small RNA, 541 nt
Filed under: Pongo abelii (Sumatran orangutan)
Lineage: Eukaryota; Metazoa; Chordata; Mammalia; Primates; Hominidae
Description: processed transcript
Source: RNAcentral
CAGGAACUUCAAGACCAGUGCCAGUGCAUUCCAAACAAGGGAGAAGCAGGAUUACCAGGAGCUCCGGGUUCACCUGGGCAGAAAGGGCAGAAAGGAGAGCCGGGUGAAAAUGGUUUACAUGGUGCUCCAGGAUUACCUGGUCAAAAGGGAGAGCAAGGUUUUGAAGGCAGCAAAGGAGAAACUGGUGAAAAGAAGCUACUGGCAUGUGAACUUCUUUCACAAUCAAUGUAAAAGCAAUUCACUCUAUAGGAAUUGCUGAACAAGUGUGUCCUACCAGACCGAAAUAGCAGAAUUCCACUGCACAGAAAACAGAGGUGUUAGUGCAGCUGCUGUUCCAAGUGAAUGUUGUACAGUGACUAGCUGUUUUGUAAGUUAUUGUCUAGGCUUAUGGUGGUCUAUUGCUUCUUAGUCUAAUAUAUUAAAAAAAAAUCAUUGGUUUUUGUUUUCCUUGAUAAUCCUUACAAUCUCCUUUAAGAACCUCCCCAUCAAUGAUCUGUUCUAAUAUCAGUAAAGGAUCAAUGAAACAAGACAGAAAUCAAAU